CGUUACGCCGAUUUUGUAUGUAUAGUGUCAAAUAAUGAGUUUACGGUUGUUACUGAUCGUGAGAUUGUAUACAUAAAGAAAGAUAAUUAAAAGGCGCCAGGGGGCGACAAAUGUACGCUAAAAGUUGCGUUAAGUUCCCCGCUCACAGGCCGCGCAGUGAGGCACUCCGUCUCCAGACCUGCUGAACACUUGGCCAAGCACACUACACCAAGUCAUGCAAAACCCGUCGUGUUUCAAAGAGAGAUGUGUAAUGGAUAGAAACUAAAGCUGAUUAUGAACUCUGGCAGCUGGGCUUUGAAUCAGCUGAACUUGUUUGACUGUCUCUUUAGGAAGACCACUAGAAGACCAUUACGACAAUACCAACAGUAAACUUGUCAUGCUCAUUGGUGACAAAAUUGGUGACAAAACUCUAGCUGCUUACACUGACUGCCAGGUUCAUAACACACAACAAAGGGAAGAAACAAAACAGAAUGCUUACAACAGAGGAAUUUCAGCUGUCCUGUCUGCAGUAAUAUAGUGCUGUGAGUGAGCGGUGUGUCCUGGCUAAAUGUUCUGAUGUGUUUUAUCUGUUUAACAGUUCUUCUACCCCUCUAUUGCAUAGACAAUACCAACAGAUAACUUGUCAUGCUCAUUGGUGACAAAAUAUCACGAAAAUGUUGCGGUUUCGCCAGCCGACACGGCCACACCCCCAAUCGACGUGCCCAUGCCGCCACCCACCCUAGCCCCACCAGACUAAUGGAGGCUCCACAUCUACACUGGAGUGUCUACUCAGACUAAAAAUAUGAUAAAUAUGGACUUGCCCAUUAGGGAUAUAGACUCAUAUAUUUGUAAAGCAUGUUUUGUGACAACUUGUGCUGUACAAUGCGCUAUAUAAAUAAACGUGACCUCAACCUUA
Electrophorus electricus (electric eel) is the source of this 895-nucleotide non-coding RNA. NCBI's taxonomy places the organism in Eukaryota, Metazoa, Chordata, Actinopteri, Gymnotiformes, Gymnotidae. The record is from RefSeq and is a predicted model, not a curated record.